RNAcentral lists this long non-coding RNA (1281 nucleotides) under Equus caballus (horse). RNAcentral describes it as "lncRNA (ENSECAG00000058564.1)". Lineage: Eukaryota; Metazoa; Chordata; Mammalia; Perissodactyla; Equidae. The record is from RNAcentral.
UCCCUCCAGAUUCCUGUGAGCCCAGAGGGAGGGACUGUUACUGCGGUCACUGAGGAGUCCCGUGGUGCCUUGGAUUCACAGACUGGUCAGUUACUUACUUCAUCCGGGCUCCUUUUCUUCAGGUUUGCGAUGUCCUUCCUGCAUUUCUGCGUCCUGCAUCUCACCUCCAUUUCUUCCGCACGCCCUCCUUCUCCCUCUCACCUUCCCCUUUUUAUCCUUGAUUCAGAGCAGAGAUAACAAUGACUCGACUUGUUCACAUACGAAAAUAGCUCGCUUGUCAGAGCUGCAUGGGGACUGGUGCCACGGAAAUUCUGUGAGCAGAAGAACAGUUCAGAUCAGAGAAUUUUCUUUGGGUUUGGAGUGCUCCCUGGUCGUGGUCGUCUCCAGUCCACACCCCAUCCUGGGGAGGAGCCUGAUCCCAAUGAAGAUGAAGAAAAGUGCUAAAAAGUGUGUUUACUGCCAUCUAUGGGAUGUACCGGGGCUGCCAUCCCCUUUCCCUGGAACUCACGGGAGGCUCCAGUUACAAAGCAACGCGGAAAUGUUUGUGCGCAGCAAGCCCAGGCAUGGCACUGAGCGUCCACGGGAAAAUACCACUGAAAAAUCAUCGGUGUAACGUUUUCCAGAAAUAGAAGUUCAUAUUGCUGCUGUAGAGAGGCAGAGAGCUAUAGAAUAGAGUCCCCUAUUCAAGGCAAUCAUAUUUAUGUGUAAGUAACAUACGGGCACAGGGGCCCCACUCAUAACUAGGAAAUCUGACUUGUGAUUACCCUCAAAUAUCCUGGCAGAGACUGCUAGAACUAGGGAUUCAUUUGCUGGAUGAUUCUGAAUAUUCUGAAGAUGUCCAAGAAUGAGGAAAUGAUAAAGACUCUGGAUGGCCACAAUAGAUGUACAAAAUAUAUGUGUUGUGCCCUGUGAACUCAACUCGUGGAUCAGGCUUCCCAGGCUAUUAGAACAAAUUUUAUUGUUUUAGUAUCAGAAGCUCUUUUUACCAGAGGCAGCAAAUUACAAGAGGGGGCAGAGGUUUUGAAAGCCAUACAUUUGAGGGAAGCAAAAAGGGAUAGCACAUACCCUAAAACUUAAGAAAAGAAGAGGAAGACAAAAAAAUAGAUACAAGAGAGCAAAGUACUUUGGACAAUCACGGUAAAGUGUAGCAAUCAACGCUCAUGUUAAUGAUUCUAUUCUCAAAUAAUGGUUAAAUUUUGUUAGGUCUGUUAAGUCAUUAACAUGAAAGGACCAAAGGAUAUGACAACAUAGUUCACAGAAAGAGAGAUAUGAAUGAUCUUU